UCGAAUCCGUUGGGGUGCCCAGCUAGGGCUGAGAGGCGAAAGCCGACCCAUCGAACCUGAUCCGGUUGAUACCGGCGGAGGGAACGGAGACGCGACCGGG
This 100-nucleotide non-coding RNA is filed under the name Limimaricola cinnabarinus. RNAcentral's name for it is "Loktanella cinnabarina TPP sequence". It matches the Rfam family "TPP riboswitch aptamer (THI element)". From Rfam's summary of the family: Vitamin B(1) in its active form thiamin pyrophosphate (TPP) is an essential coenzyme that is synthesised by coupling of pyrimidine and thiazole moieties in bacteria. The record is from RNAcentral. Lineage: Bacteria; Pseudomonadati; Pseudomonadota; Alphaproteobacteria; Rhodobacterales; Paracoccaceae.